This is a long non-coding RNA of Clupea harengus (Atlantic herring), 623 nucleotides long. NCBI's taxonomy places the organism in Eukaryota, Metazoa, Chordata, Actinopteri, Clupeiformes, Clupeidae. The record is from Ensembl.
CUUGCACUGAGCUACUACAAGGACGUCAGACAGGAAGUCUGCCCUGCUUGUUGCCAAUGGCCUGAAAUCAUUUAAGGAUAGUUUAAGGAUCUCAGAGCAGUGGAAUUGGGAAACACCUGCAAGUCAGUGGACAUUAUAGGACUUCGCUGACGUCCAUGAGCAUGUUCUCAAUUCUCUGCUAUCCUGCCCAUCCUUGGAGCACUGAACACUGCGUACCCCAUGCCUACUGUGACACUCCCACAACUCCUGAUCUCGCUGCUUGGUAGAGCCUGCAACAUACGUCCUAACUCAGCUAAAGGUAAUGGUAUUUAGCAGAUGCUUUUAUCCAAAGCAACAUACGGACAACCAGCAACGAUCGGGAAUCGGGUCAGAUCCCUAACCACUGCGCCUCAUUCCUAUAGCGCUCAGAUCCCUAACCACUGCGCCUCAUUUCUAUAGCGUUCAGGCUGAGAUCCCUAACCACUGCGCCUCAUUUCUAUAGCGCUCAGAUCCCUAACCACUGCGCCUCAUUUCUAUAGCGCUCAGAUCCCUAACCACUGCGCCUCAUUUCUAUAGCGCUCAGAUCCCUAACCACUGCGCCUCAUUUCUAUAGCGCUCAGGUUCAGAUCCCUAACCCAGUGCAC